Non-coding RNA from Hordeum vulgare subsp. vulgare (domesticated barley), 115 nucleotides. The record is from Rfam. Lineage: Eukaryota; Viridiplantae; Streptophyta; Magnoliopsida; Poales; Poaceae.
GUUGUACUCCCUCCGUCCCAAAAUAAGUGACUCAGAAAUGACUCAAUUUUACACUAUUUUAGUGCAAAGCUGAGUGACUUUUGAGUCACUUAUUUUGGGACGGAGGGAGUAUAUG